GGAUUGUGGCUCAGUGGUAGAGUACUCGCCUAGCACGGGCGGGACCCGGGUUCGAUCCUUGGCACCA
RNAcentral lists this transfer RNA (67 nucleotides) under Marmota monax (woodchuck). RNAcentral describes it as "tRNA.Ala". Lineage: Eukaryota; Metazoa; Chordata; Mammalia; Rodentia; Sciuridae. The record is from RNAcentral.